This is a long non-coding RNA of Halichondria panicea, 964 nucleotides long. RefSeq lists it as uncharacterized. The record is from RefSeq and is a predicted model, not a curated record. NCBI's taxonomy places the organism in Eukaryota, Metazoa, Porifera, Demospongiae, Suberitida, Halichondriidae. The transcript has 2 exons.
AGUCUAUCAUUAGCCUCGAUCCCAGGCCGAGUUUUCGCUUUUAUAACGGUUAGGCGAACAACUGGGCCUGGUACUAGUUGUCUGCGCAUGCGUCAGUCGUUCGUCAGAUUCUGACGAAUGGAUAUUCUCGUUCACUUUCGUGACAUUUAUAUUCGUGUACUAUCGUGUACUAGAAGUCAGUUCCCGUUUUAUCAUUAUUGGAAUCGAUUGGAAUGGCUCUUAGCUGAAGCUUCUCUCUUCUCUGAAGCUUAUUCUGAAGACUGAACAACAAGGGAAGAGGUAUAAAGCUUUGUCAAGCUUGUUAAUUAAAGGUCAGAUAUUUUUGUGUGGGCCCUAUGGCUAUGCUAUCAAGUAUUGUUCAUGUUUGGCAAGAUCUACCGGUACGUAGGUAGACUAUAGUUUCAUCAUUAAUAUGGUGGAUCAAGUGAAGAGUGUGAGCUAGGAGAACUUGGUGCUGCCAUCAUCAGCUCGUCGACACAAUGACACUAUAACCGAGAAAUUUAAUAUGUAUAGAUCUACACGUAUUUAAAAUGUCUACUUCUCUGUACAGGAGCAAUGGCUAAUAUCCAGCUAUCCCAACAGUGCUCCUCUUGGCUAUACUAACAGACGAGACUGGACAGUUUGAGGACUGGAGUAUGACCUGCUCAUUCGAGCGUUGCUGGGUAGCUCAGAGACAUCAAGAGAAUCUAUGUUUUCUCAAGCAAAAAAUUUAACUGAGUUACGAGUUGGGGCCUAGAAUCACAGAAGUCCAGCAGCCUGCUAAAUCUUUUUGAAACAUAAUUGGAAGGCAUUCAAUCAUCCUGAAGUUGCCCUGGGUCACUGUAAUUGUGCUGCAGCACAACUGGCAACUCCCCAGGCCUUUGUGAAGCAGCUCCCUAUGUGCAUCUUUUGUGUACUCACUCUGUGCAUUUUCUGUGUACAAAUUUCAAUUAUUGAUUUAUUAAAUAUUUUUGCCGACCACAAA